This is a long non-coding RNA of Felis catus (domestic cat), 1496 nucleotides long. RefSeq lists it as uncharacterized. The transcript is spliced from 2 exons. The record is from RefSeq and is a predicted model, not a curated record. Lineage: Eukaryota; Metazoa; Chordata; Mammalia; Carnivora; Felidae.
UUUCUUCGCUAUGUCCAGUGUCUUGAUAAGCCCAUAGACGUUCUCCACUUCUGUCCUCUUGUUUUUAUUUUUUUAUUCUUUUAUUUUUUUAGCGUUUCCUUUUGAUUCCUUCUUAGCAUUUCCAUCUCUCUGCUUACCUUCCCCGUCUGUUCUUCCAUGGUGUCGCCUGUUUUGUGAUAGCCCUCGGCAUAUGAGUCACAGUUGUUUUAGAUUCCGCGCUCUGAUGAUCCCAACAUCCCUGCCAGAGCCGAGGGUGGUUCUGACGUUUGCUUGUGUGCUUUGUCUUUUGGUGUACCCUGUGACUUCCCGCCGCAAGCCACACAUGAGGCACUGGGUACAAGGAACCGAGUACUGGCUCUUGCGGUUUCUGCCUGUGAAUUUGCACUCUGGGAGGACUUCUAAGCUUCUCGCACGCUGGACCAGGAGCUGGAAGUCAGUGUGGCCAAUCCUUUCUGAAGCAAUCCAUGGUUCCUCCUCAGUCAGCAGGAUGAAGGGUGUUUGCCAUCAAAUGAGACAGCUAGUAAGGACACAUUUUGGCAGGGAGACGGAACAGAGACUAUACAUAUAAACACACGAACCGGUUCGUUUUCCCCUUCUCUCCAUUGCCCUGAUGCGCUUCCCAAAUAAACCUUCUACUGGUAGUACGGAAUUUGGUUCAUAUUGGAGGACAAGAAGUCGGGCGUCUGUAGGUAAACAGAAGUUUAGUUUUGAACAAUUCCAUGCUCUUUUUUCUUGGCUUCACCCCAUAAACCUUAAGAGGCACAUCGAAGAAACAGAGACGGACACCUGGAACACUUCAAGACUUGAGGAAUAAGAUCUUGGAGACAGCAGUGGGAGUGUGGGGAGUAUCCCAUCUGGGGGAGAUCAGAGUGGUUCUCUUGACUCUAUUAUCGAAUGAUAUACUCCGCAAAGGCGGCGUGCCCAGCUUAUGGCAAAAAGCACCUGUUGCCAAUAAACGUUGGGAGUGACGGUGACUAGUCUGACCUAUUCUCAUUGCCUUGUACACAGCCUGGGACGCAGAGGGUUUGCCGGGGGGGAAAGUGAAUGGAGUCCGGCAAGUACAGCACACGGCCCAGAUUUUCCUUCUUUGCUCCGGAGAAUAGAAAUGAAGGGCACGGGCUUACAUUUGUACAGUUAGUGAAGUUAUUUAGAGGAAAUAACCCUUGUGGUAUUUCUGGGAGCGUUUGCUGGGAAAAGUCAAGCACUGUCUUUCCCGUCAAAUAUUUAAGAUGGGAAGAUUUAAUUUUAAUCCUACUUGAUAGUGCUUGGGUCAACUAUAAAAUUAUCAUAUUUAAAAAAUCACUUCAAAAGACUUUUCUUUUAGGAAGAUUAUCCUGCUAGGCUUAAAGAAGAAACACAUUCUUAUUGGAGGGAUCCUUCUACUGUUAUAUUCACUCCAUAGCUUCGCUCAAGACCAUUAACCUUGUCCCUGAGAUGAUUCACUUGUGCUAUUCGCGGUGUCCCCUGGAUUCUAGAAUAAAGGACAAGCCAGUGUA